RNAcentral lists this ribosomal RNA (420 nucleotides) under uncultured bacterium. RNAcentral describes it as "bacterial SSU rRNA". It matches the Rfam family "Bacterial small subunit ribosomal RNA", at positions 355 to 776 of the family's 1533-position model. The record is from RNAcentral.
UGGGGGAUAUUGCACAAUGGGGGAAACCCUGAUGCAGCGACGCCGCGUGAGUGAAGAAGUAUUUCGGUAUGUAAAGCUCUAUCAGCAGGGAAGAAAGGGGGCGCAAGUCCCUGAGACGGUACCUGACUAAGAAGCCCCGGCUAACUACGUGCCAGCAGCCGCGGUAAUACGUAGGGGGCAAGCGUUAUCCGGAUUUACUGGGUGUAAAGGGAGCGCAGACGGCAUAGCAAGUCUGGAGUGAAAGCCCGCGGCUCAACCGCGGGACUGCUCUGGAAACUGUUAAGCUGGAGUGCAGGAGAGGCAGGUGGAAUUCCUGGUGUAGCGGUGAAAUGCGUAGAUAUCAGGAGGAACACCAGUGGCGAAGGCGGCCUGCUGGACUGUAACUGACGUUGAGGCUCGAAAGCGUGGGGAGCAAACAGG